RNAcentral lists this ribosomal RNA (442 nucleotides) under uncultured soil bacterium. RNAcentral describes it as "bacterial SSU rRNA". It matches the Rfam family "Bacterial small subunit ribosomal RNA", at positions 26 to 476 of the family's 1533-position model. The record is from RNAcentral.
AGAUUGAACGCUAGCGGGAUGCUUUACACAUGCAAGUCGAACGGCAGCGCGGACUUCGGUCUGGCGGCGAGUGGCGAACGGGUGAGUAAUAUAUCGGAACGUGCCCAGUAGCGGGGGAUAACUACGCGAAAGCGUGGCUAAUACCGCAUACGCCCUACGGGGGAAAGGGGGGGAUUCUUCGGAACCUCUCACUAUUGGAGCGGCCGAUAUCAGAUUAGCUAGUUGGUGAGGUAAAGGCUCACCAAGGCGACGAUCUGUAGCUGGUUUGAGAGGACGACCAGCCACACUGGGACUGAGACACGGCCCAGACUCCUACGGGAGCAGCAGUGGGAAUUUGGACAAGUGGGGGAAACCCUGACUCCAGCCAUCCCGCGUGUGCGAUGAAGGCCUUGGGUUGUAAGCACUUUGGCAGGGAAGAACCGGCGACCGCCGUAAGUACGGG